RNAcentral lists this ribosomal RNA (270 nucleotides) under uncultured archaeon. RNAcentral describes it as "partial 16S ribosomal RNA". It matches the Rfam family "Bacterial small subunit ribosomal RNA", at positions 527 to 796 of the family's 1533-position model. The record is from RNAcentral.
CGAGGGUGCAAGCGUUAAUCGGAAUUACUGGGCGUAAAGCGAGUGUAGGCGGCUACUUAAGUCGGAUGUGAAAUCCCCGGGCUCAACCUGGGAAUUGCAUUCGAUACUGGGUAGCUAGAGUUUGGUAGAGGUAAGUGGAAUUCCGGGUGUAGCGGUGAAAUGCGUAGAUAUCCGGAGGAACAUCAGUGGCGAAGGCGGCUUACUGGACCAAAACUGACGCUGAGGCUCGAAAGCGUGGGGAGCAAACAGGAUUAGAUACCCCAGUAGUCC